CUUAAAAAACCAUAAAAUAAAAAACAAUAUACAUAACACUAGGAAAUGACAUAUGCCGCUUCUAAAUGUUGAGAAGAUAAAGCUAGUGACCUCUUAACAAGUCGAUGACGGUGUAGAAACGAUGAAAUGAAUCAAUAGCCGGAGAUGAGAGCAAGAACAAGCAACUGCAAAUGAAGAACACAGCAAAAGAGUGAAGAUCGAUGGGCUCGGCCAC
Molecule: long non-coding RNA, 214 nt
Filed under: Sorghum bicolor (sorghum)
Lineage: Eukaryota; Viridiplantae; Streptophyta; Magnoliopsida; Poales; Poaceae
Description: long non-coding RNA (SBIC_LNC014676)
Source: RNAcentral